CGGAGACGUCGGCGCGGAAUUUCCAGCUGGAGGACGCGUCUGACGUCGGCGAAAGCCAGCCCUCCUCUUCCUCCAUCGGUCCCGAUCGGGUGGCGGCGAGUCGGCUGUGGCGGAGAUCGGGGUUCACGUAGCGCUCAGGUCUGCAAAGUUCAAAACAAGCUUCUCUGACCUUACUUACAAUCUACCCCAUGGGACCAACGAGAAGCUGAACGAUGCUUGGCUCGUAUACUAUGACUCUAUGUUGUGAUAUCGUAUCUUUAUGACAGCAUUAAGAUAGUCUGACACUGUAUAUUGUUAUGAGCAGCAUGCUUGCUUGCAUCACCUUCACCAAUGCUUGAGUGGCCCCUUGCUCUCUGGCCAUUGCUUUUAGCGGGGAUACUUGCUGCCAUCUUGCUCGAAAGCAACCUUAGGAGCAGUUUGGAAACCCUGCAUAGCAUUUGUCGGGGGCUUGUUGGCCUAAUUCAAGUCUGUAGUUAAUUCUGAUAUUGACAAGGCCAGUCGUAUGGAUCAGUUGAAGCCCCAGUUUGGACCGCCAAUCUACAUUUUUCUCUUUUGCCAAAGGCAAAAGACCUGUUGUCUGCAGAGCUGUAUGCUAUGGGAUGCAGUUGAUGUUGAGUUUUCUCUAAAUCUUAUGCUAUGCUAUCUAGCUAAGUUCGAAAACCUUUGAAGCCAAAACUAAGAAUCAUGCAAGCUUCCAUGUUUUGUGCGACAAUAUCUGCUGCUGUUCACCUGCUUGGAUCGUGAAAGUAUGUGCCUCAUGAGCAGCAGAAGCAAGCUCCCAUGUUUUGUGCGACAAUAUCUGCUGCUGUUCACCUGCUUGGAUCGUGAAAGUAUGUGCCUCGUGAGCAGCAGAAGCAAGCUCCCAUGUUUUGUUUUGAUUCUCUGCGGUGCGUACUCAGUAGUACAGUAAGGUUGACUGUAGCACAUCGGUCGAUCGAUGCGAGAGACUGUGGAGGAUAGAUUCAGAGCCACCUCAGAAAAUUAUUGAACUUGUGAAGUAGAAAGUUGGGUUUUCAUUUAUCGGAUUUAGUGCUAUUUUCGAAGUAAAUUUAUUAUCAUA
Musa acuminata AAA Group (dessert banana) is the source of this 1060-nucleotide long non-coding RNA. RefSeq lists it as uncharacterized. The transcript is spliced from 3 exons. Lineage: Eukaryota; Viridiplantae; Streptophyta; Magnoliopsida; Zingiberales; Musaceae. The record is from RefSeq and is a predicted model, not a curated record.